UAGGGAAUCUUCCGCAAUGGGCGAAAGCCUGACGGAGCAACGCCGCGAGUGUGAUGAAGGUCUUCGGAUUGUAAAACUCUGUUAUUAGGGAAGAACAAAUGUGUAAGUAACUAUGCACGUCUUGACGGUACCUAAUCAGAAAGCCACGGCUAACUACGUGCCAGCAGCCGCGGUAAUACGUAGGUGGCAAGCGUUAUCCGGUAUUAUUGGGCGUAAAGCGCGCGUAGGCGGUUUUUUAAGUCGGAUGUGAAAGCCUACGGCUCAACCGUGGCGGGUCAUUGGAAACUGGAAAACUUGAGUGCAGGAGAGGAAAGUGGAAUUCCAUGUGUAGCGGUGUAAUGCGCAGAGAUAUGGAGGAACACCAGUGGCGAAGGCGACUUUCUGGUCUGUAACUGACGCUGAUGUGCGAAAGCGUGGGGAUCAAACAGG
RNAcentral lists this ribosomal RNA (429 nucleotides) under Actinomycetes bacterium. RNAcentral describes it as "Actinobacteria bacterium partial 16S ribosomal RNA". It matches the Rfam family "Bacterial small subunit ribosomal RNA", at positions 355 to 776 of the family's 1533-position model. Lineage: Bacteria; Bacillati; Actinomycetota; Actinomycetes. The record is from RNAcentral.